CAAUAGCGUAUAUUAAAGUUGUUGCAGUUAAAAAGCUCGUAGUUGGAUUUAAGUUUGGUUCAAGAUCACAGUCGUGAGAUUGUGGUGCGUGAAACGGACAUUAUUUGGAAUUGGGGGUUUCUUGGCAUUCAGUUGUUGAGAUUCAACUGCCCAUCGUUUACUGUGAAAAAAUUAGAGUGUUUAAAGCAGGGGUUUUUCCUUUGGAUAUAUUAGCAUGGAAUAAUAAUAUAUGACUCGUAUGGUCUAUUUUGUUGGUUUGCACAUAUGAGUAAUGAUUAAUAGGGACAGUUGGGGGUAUUCAUAUUUGAGCGUCAGAGGUGAAAUUCUUGGAUCGCUGAAAGAUGAGCUAAGGCGAAAGCAUUUACCAAGGAUGUUUUCAUUAA
RNAcentral lists this ribosomal RNA (383 nucleotides) under uncultured eukaryote. RNAcentral's name for it is "partial 18S ribosomal RNA". It matches the Rfam family "Eukaryotic small subunit ribosomal RNA", at positions 592 to 976 of the family's 1831-position model. The record is from RNAcentral.